Molecule: long non-coding RNA, 1955 nt
Organism: Homo sapiens (human)
Lineage: Eukaryota; Metazoa; Chordata; Mammalia; Primates; Hominidae
Source: Ensembl
GUACAGAUAAAGAUGAAACAUCCAAUUGCAGAUAUGAAUGACCUAAUUCAAUGGAUGAGUCUGGAAGAGGACCAAGUUCAUGGGAAAGAUCAAAAAUUCAGUUUUGAAGAUGUUGAUGAGAAGAUGAGACAAAACCAUGUAUAGAUGCGGAUGAGCUAAUUAAAUAUAUGAGUCUGGAGCUGAAAGGAAAUGCCUUGACAAGAGAAGUAAAUUUGAGGACCAUCAGUAUACAGAUGUACUUGAAUCCAUCUAUGUAAAUGCAAUCACCCUGGGAGGAAAUUUAGAGUGAGAACAGGACUGCGUGGAAAGACAUUAAAGAAGUUAAAGAAAGAAGAACUAACAAAGGCAGGAGAGAAGAAGAGGACGGAGAGGUAGGAGAGAAACCAGUAAUGUGCGAUGGCAUAGAAAUUAAGAAAUAUUUUAAAAAAUCAACCUCAGAAAUGAAUAACAGCCCAAAAGAGGUCUGGGAGAGAAGGAAGCUGUAUUGUUGGUACAGAAGCCAACAUAGGAGAAAAGACUUUUAGCCCUCCCUCUCCUCCUGGGAGACACAGUUGAAGGAAGAGCAGCCUGUGAUUCAGAGGGAAGGACACUGAGUCAGAUCCUGCAGGACCAACAGCAUUAAGUGCUACAAAGAGAGACCCUGCUGAGGGGGCCCCUCCUCUCCUCCCCAAGAUCCUGCCAGGAAGGGACUGCCUUUUGUCACAAUUUGGCUGACUGGUCAAUUGAGGGUGAAUCCUCAAACCAGCAGGCUUUAAGGAGCACCUUAGGGUUCAGAGCAGACCUUUUUCUUUUUCUGCCAGUGUGUAGCAGAUCUCCUUCUGCAGCCUUGGCUAUGAUCUCCGCUCCUCUCUCUCUCUGCCUUGGCUAUCUGCCUGCUCUCCUGCUGUCCUCAUCUGUAGGAGCUGCACAGCUCAGCAAGAAACUGUUCUUAGUGUGCCCAUCAAAGCACUGGAAGAAAAAGAAUACUGAGAUAGUUGCCUGAAAAGCAGAAGCAGCUCCUGUCACAGUGCCAAAUGCACUCGUUUAAGGAAUUCUGAUUUUACAAAAGGAACUCCCCCAACCCCCAAACUAAAAGUUAAAGAUGAAGAAGCAUCAUGUCUUAAAAUAGACAGUUUUGUGUUUUCUCACUGCAGUCAAAAACAGAACUCUGGCAAAACAGCAUGGAAUGGGAAGUGGACGUGGCUUUCUGCAUAAAACACAUACCCUGCAACAUAGCAAAUUACUCUGCCUGAUCCUUCACCCAUUAUCCUUGGACCAAGCUUAUGCUUUCUGUAAAGUGAGUCUUCAUCUUGAGAAUCCUUAUUCACUAGACAGAUUUGAUUUGCUUUGCUUCACUUUCAAAUACAUCAGGACAGGUCUGAAUUUGUAAUAGGUAUCUUGUCUCUUUUACUUAGGACCAUUACUCUUUACAUUCCUUUUGAAAGUCUUUUUGCUACUCUCAAUAGAUCAGAGAUAGAAAAAUUUUCUUAGAGAAAUCUAAGAAAAUAAGUUCGCUUCAAAAAUCUCUAAAAUGCCUUCCAAUAUGAAGAUGACCAGAUGACCAGAACUGUCCAAAUUUUUGGACAAUGUUAUUGUUUCCUCCACCACCUGCUCUUUCCUUUCUCCUGUAAAGAAGAGAGCCUUUAAAGAAGUAAAAAUAUUAUACCAAUGCCCCUCAUUGAGGGUCCAUAAUCAUAUCAAUUUGUAAAGCACCUGCAUUUAUUAACCUCUAAUUGAAGAUGGUGUCCUCUGUAUUUUUCACUGUGCCCAAUGCAAAAACUCAUGUGACUAAUUAUGUUCAUAAUUAAAAAUAUUUUUCUCUUUUGUUGAACUGAUGAGAUUCUUUGAAUUAGAAACUAAAACCCAUCUAAUUCUUUGUGCUUAUAUUUGUUUGACUUCCAAGAAGUUUGUUUAUAAUCUUCAUGUUUAAUUAUAGUGUUAUAUUUGUUUUCAGUUUUCUGAUGUAAUUGUUUUAA